RNAcentral lists this ribosomal RNA (1024 nucleotides) under uncultured bacterium. RNAcentral's name for it is "bacterial SSU rRNA". It matches the Rfam family "Bacterial small subunit ribosomal RNA", at positions 10 to 1025 of the family's 1533-position model. The record is from RNAcentral.
AGUUUGAUCCUGGCUCAGGAUGAACGCUAGCUACAGGCUUAACACAUGCAAGUCGAGGGGAAACGACAUCGAAAGCUUGCUUUUGAUGGGUGUCGACCGGCGCACGGGUGAGUAACGCGUAUCCAACCUGCCCACCACUUGGGGAUAACCUUGCGAAAGUAAGACUAAUACCCAAUGACGUCUCUAGAAGACAUCUGAAAGAGAUUAAAGAUUUAUCGGUGAUGAAUGGGGAUGCGUCUGAUUAGCUUGUUGGCGGGGUAACGGCCCACCAAGGCGACGAUCAGUAGGGGUUCUGAGAGGAAGGUCCCCCACAUUGGAACUGAGACACGGUCCAAACUCCUACGGGAGGCAGCAGUGAGGAAUAUUGGUCAAUGGACGAGAGUCUGAACCAGCCAAGUAGCGUGCAGGAAGACGGCCCUAUGGGUUGUAAACUGCUUUUAUAAGGGAAUAAAGUGAGUCUCGUGAGACUUUUUGCAUGUACCUUAUGAAUAAGGACCGGCUAAUUCCGUGCCAGCAGCCGCGGUAAUACGGAAGGUCCGGGCGUUAUCCGGAUUUAUUGGGUUUAAAGGGAGCGUAGGCCGGAGAUUAAGCGUGUUGUGAAAUGUAGACGCUCAACGUCUGCACUGCAGCGCGAACUGGUUUCCUUGAGUACGCACAAAGUGGGCGGAAUUCGUGGUGUAGCGGUGAAAUGCUUAGAUAUCACGAAGAACUCCGAUUGCGAAGGCAGCUCACUGGACUGCAACUGACACUGAUGCUCGAAAGUGUGGGUAUCAAACAGGAUUAGAUACCCUGGUAGUCCACACAGUAAACGAUGAAUACUCGCUGUUUGCGAUAUACAGUAAGCGGCCAAGCGAAAGCAUUAAGUAUUCCACCUGGGGAGUACGCCGGCAACGGUGAAACUCAAAGGAAUUGACGGGGGCCCGCACAAGCGGAGGAACAUGUGGUUUAAUUCGAUGAUACGCGAGGAACCUUACCCGGGCUUAAAUUGCAUUUGAAUAUAUUGGGAAAAGUAUAGCCGUAAGGC